This is a long non-coding RNA of Microcebus murinus (gray mouse lemur), 3143 nucleotides long. The record is from Ensembl. Lineage: Eukaryota; Metazoa; Chordata; Mammalia; Primates; Cheirogaleidae.
CAAAUAUUUUUUUAUUUUGAAUCACAAGUAGAUUGCUUAUGUGUUCCUUUUUACAUUCAGGUUUGCUUUUGGCUGCCAAUAUAGGUUACAAGCGCUUCGUGACGUGAAAAGCAACACAUCAACAUUAAUUUUUGUACCUUGAGUUGUGAAAUGGAAAGAAACUCUUAAUCAUUUGAAAGACAUUAAUUUCCUAAAAUACUAAUUUAUGUAAUUAUGGAAUGUGGUGAUAAUUCUCUUAUCAUGGGCAGAAAUAAAAGCAAAGUAGCUUUUUAAAAAGCAUUUUCAUACAUUUCAGAUGAGAUCUCCCCAGGGUAGCCUUUCAGUGCCAGGGGUUACAUAGAGAGCUCUUUAUAUCAUGCAGUGGAAAAACAAUAGGGAAGAAGAAUCUACUCACAAAUGCAGAAGAAGAUGAGCCUUAGAGGAGAAAAAGGUUGUGAAAAUAAUUUAGAUACCUCACCUGCAAGCCAGAAAUUUCUUACUUGAAACGUGUCCUGUAGUGCAGUACUUACAAGUAAUGUCAGGUAAGAAACCCUAAUGACUUUGUUUUUGUUUUUGUUUUUGUUUUUUGCAGCAAGUGAUAUGUAAGGAACCCUAAUGACUUUGUUUUUCAUGUUGCAAAAAGCAGAAGCCAUUAGAGAGCAAUGGCCAAGAGGCAGACCUAACUGGGUGCGGCCGUGUUGCUUGCUCUCUGCACUUCAGCAUUGUCCGCCACCACCACCUUGUUUGCCUGUUCGCGGUGGAUCCUUUGGGCUGGCAGGAAGGGGUGAAGUUGCGACGUCUCUUGCACGACUCUCUCGUGCCCAUGUCGGCCUCCAUAGAGCUCAUCCUGGUGGAGGACGUGAGGCUGAGUCCAGAAGAGGGGACCACCUGGCAUCCAGGUACCCUGGCAUCCAGGUGGAGCUGCCUGUCAGAGAAGGCUCGAGACACUUUCUCAACACAGCACUGCAGACGUCGUCACGGUGGCCUCCCUGGAGGCCAGGGGAGUCGCCCUGGUGGGUUGGCUUUAGUUUCUCACCCAGGCCGCUGUGUGGUUAGUGGAUUGAGUAUUGGAAAAGCUGGCACUUAGUCACACCAGCUAUAACCAGCAGGGUCUUCAGAAUCUCCGCUUCAUUCAGCAACUUUGGUCAUCGUCGUGCCACCUCUGUGAGUUUCAUUCCACAUCCACACACUACUCCCACUAUUAGUUACCUAAUGGUUUCCUUUCAAUCCAUCUUUUAAUGAAGACUAAAGCAUCAUUUCAUAAGCACCACUAUGACAUCCACAAAGAAAAUCGUUUUUAGAAGAUGCAUCAGGUUUUUGUAUUAAUAUAUUUUCCAUGUUUCUUUCCUGGCCCUCUCCCUGUUCUUGCAAGUGCUGACUUAGCUAUGCCCCUGGGGGGCAGAAUUUAGCAUUCUGCCUUUUUUGAUUCAUUAUCCUAAGAUUUUAUAUUUUUCCCUGUUGCAAUAUAGGCUAGGCAAUUAUUUUAUGCAGCCGUUUGUACUUUAGCCAUUCUCUUUUUGAGGAGCAUAUGGAUUGUUUAAAACAUUUUAUUUCUUAAAAAUAUAUAGGAAGGCAUAGGAUAAAAAGAGCAAAAACAAACAAAUGCCACCGUGCUAGUCCUACAUGUCUGCAUAUAUCCAUGAUAGAUUGCUAGGAAAUCAGGAAAAUUGAUCUCACUUGUAAAGGAAGCUCUUGCCACUGAAUGUGUAGAGAAAGUCAUGAACGCCAAGGCUCAGCACUGACAUCCACCCUGUGAUUUCAGCGUAGACUAGAGAUGGGCACCAGGCUGAGGGACAAUCUAAGGGACAGAUUCUGUGCUGAACUGCAAAGUGCACAAAAAUGCUUGAUGGGUUUUACCUAUGAAAGUACCACGUGUAAUCACAAUGCAGAUCAAAAUACCGAACAUUUUCAACACCCGGGAAGUUCCUACCGCGCUUCCUCCUAGCCACAGCCCCCACAGGCCCACAAGGAAGGAUGGUGCUGAUUUCCACCCUCAUGGAUUAGCUGUGCCUGCUCCUAACCUCUGUGUAAGUGGAACAACACAACAUGUACCUUCUUGUAUCUUUUCUGUGUGCCAGUCACCCAUGUUGUUACAUGCACUGUAGUUUGGUCUAUUUCAUUGCUGUGCAGUGCUCCAUUUUUCCCAACGUUACCAAGGAUGUUUCUAUUCCUUUGCUUUGGUGGUUACAAAGUGUCCUUUUCUCAGCAUGCGCACUUUUUUAAACAAACAGACUUUAUUUCUUUAGAGCAGUUGCAGGUUCACAGCAAAACGGAGCUGUGUGUGAAAGUGCAGAGCUCCGUGUCCCGCCUCCCCCCACAAACACACAGCCUCCUCCGCUGCGCACACCCCCACCAGAGGGCACAUUGUUACACUCGGUGAACCUGCACUGACGCCUCAUGUUAGACACACUGACCGCUUUAGCAUCAGGGAGUGCUCUGUCAUAAAUCCCCGAUGACUGUUCUUGCUCUGAACUCUGCUGUGAUCCUGCUUUCUUUCAUUAGUGUUAGCAUGAUGUGUGUCUUUAUCCAUCCGUUUACUUUUCAUAUGAUGUGUCUUUGCAUUUUAAGUGGGGUCCUGGUACACAACCUACAAUCAGGUCCUGUUAUGUGAUGCACUCUGACCGUCUUUGUCAUAUAUUUUAAACAUUGAUAUUUAAAGUAGUUACUGAUAGAAUUGGAUUACUAUGUACUACAUUUGUUACCGUUUUCUAUUCCUUGCCCUGCUUCUUUGUUCUUCUUUCUGAGUUAUCUUCCUUUUCUGUCUUUUGAAGUUUUAAUAAUCAUUUUUCUAUGAAUCUACUUUUUCUCUUUCUUCUGUGAGGGGAUUAAGACCACUAGGACUUAGGGAUGCUAUGUCUGCGGCUGUGAAAGGAGAGGAGGUGAAGGGAUUGCCUGAGCAGACGCCUGCAAUAAGGGCAGAUGUUAAGUGCCUGGGUGGGGGACAGAUAGCAGCGAUCUGGGAGUACAGCAAAGCAUGCUGCAAACUCAGAGCCUGAGGGGUCUCAUGCCUCAAAAGCCACGGAGCGGGCUGACAUGGAAACUUCUCGUGGCUGCAGAAGUAGAUUGUGGUAUGUCCGCCCGGGAGAAGGGGCCUACGGCCUUCAUUUUUAGAACACUUGGCCAAGGUCCUUCUCUCCCUUUCUCCCAACAAUGCCUCAGGUGAU